UGCUUCUUUAUAGCACCGGGGGUUUAUCGCGAGUGGAGCCGCCCGACAGGAAGGAAACCGCUGAUCCCGGGACAGUUCGUUCCAUUUCACACGAGGCUCAGAGCUGAGCGGUCAGGUGCUGAUGUUCAGCUGCAGUGAUGAAAUCUUUACAGAAUAUUCCAAUGAGCCCCCAGGGUGACAGUUGCACUAGUUCUAGGUGUCGUUACUGAACCCCAGUCACAUGAAGCCCAACGACUAAGGACCAUGUGGCCUGACCAUAGAUACGAAUAUUAUCUCCUGUCGCAGACCUGGGCUCUCACUCAUGCGUCGGAUGAACUGCUGCCUCGUAUCUAUGUGCCAAGUGGAUCUCCCAGAUGUGAUGUUUCAGGACGUGUCCCACCUUGGAACAUUGCUCCGUUCUGAUGCAACUGCUGCUCCUGGCUGAGGUGCUGAUGUUCAGCUGCAGUGAUGAAAUCUUUACAGAAUAUUCCAAUAAUCCCCCAGGGUGACCGUUGCACUAGAUUCUCCCCUAUAGAAGUGAGUUGCACGUGGGCAUCGGUACCUACUGAAACUGAGCUGCCUAAAUCUGGACAUUCCCCCUCGGCCUGAAUUCUACUGACUUGUCUUUCCUUUAAUUCUAGGUGUCCUUACUUAACCCCAGUCACAUGAGACUGUUGGCUAAUGAAACCUGUGAGUCGACCCAAGGCUGUGUCCCACCAUACAACGCUGCUCCAUUCAGAUUUAAUUGCCAUAAGGUCAUGUGACUUCUCCUAAACUGCCUUCAACCAGGCCAGAAAGGGAAAGAACUUGAAUUCGAAACCAGCAGCUCAAUGGAUCACUCGCAGCUGGAAUAUUUCCGCCACAUUUGCUGAAUUGAUGCUUAAAGAGAAGAAAUCCGUGGGCAGAGAUACAAUCUCAUCACUUGGAGAGGGGAAGAUGGAUGUUUGAUUCCUUGUCUGCAGCAAAUAAAAUAACCUGUAUAUUGGGUGCCCCAUCUAGAUUGUAAAGCUCCUCUUAAGAACAAUAAAAUUUAAUUAAUUGUAAA
Molecule: long non-coding RNA, 1024 nt
Organism: Xenopus laevis (African clawed frog)
Lineage: Eukaryota; Metazoa; Chordata; Amphibia; Anura; Pipidae
Exons: 13
Source: RefSeq, a predicted model, not a curated record